UUGACUGGGGCGGUCUCCUCCUAAAGAGUAACGGAGGAGCACGAAGGUUGGCUAAUCCUGGUCGGACAUCAGGAGGUUAGUGCAAUGGCAUAAGCCAGCUUGACUGCGAGCGUGACGGCGCGAGCAGGUGCGAAAGCAGGUCAUAGUGAUCCGGUGGUUCUGAAUGGAAGGGCCAUCGCUCAACGGAUAAAAGGUACUCCGGGGAUAACAGGCUGAUACCGCCCAAGAGUUCAUAUCGACGGCGGUGUUUGGCACCUCGAUGUCGGCUCAUCACAUCCUGGGGCUGAAGUAGGUCCCAAGGGUAUGGCUGUUCGCCAUUUAAAGUGGUACGCGAGCUGGGUUUAGAACGUCGUGAGACAGUUCGGUCCCUAUCUGCCGUGGGCGCUGGAGAACUGAGGGGGGCUGCUCCUAGUACGAGAGGACCGGAGUGGACGCAUCACUGGUGUUCGGGUUGUCAUGCCAAUGGCACUGCCCGGUAGCUAAAUGCGGAAGAGAUAAGUGCUGAAAGCAUCUAAGCACGAAACUUGCCCCGAGAUGAGUUCUCCCUGAGACUUUAAGUCUCCUGAAGGAACGUUGAAGACGACGACGUUGAUAGGCCGGGUGUGUAAGCGCAGCGAUGCGUUGAGCUAACCGGUACUAAUGAACCGUGAGGCUUAACCUUACAACGCCGAAG
RNAcentral lists this ribosomal RNA (673 nucleotides) under Escherichia coli. RNAcentral describes it as "partial 23S ribosomal RNA". It matches the Rfam family "Bacterial large subunit ribosomal RNA", at positions 2270 to 2925 of the family's 2925-position model. The record is from RNAcentral. Lineage: Bacteria; Pseudomonadati; Pseudomonadota; Gammaproteobacteria; Enterobacterales; Enterobacteriaceae.